RNAcentral lists this transfer RNA (73 nucleotides) under Pseudocohnilembus persalinus. It matches the Rfam family "tRNA". Rfam says of the family: Transfer RNA (tRNA) molecules are approximately 80 nucleotides in length. Their secondary structure includes four short double-helical elements and three loops (D, anti-codon, and T loops). Further hydrogen bonds mediate the characteristic L-shaped molecular structure. tRNAs have two regions of fundamental functional importance: the anti-codon, which is responsible for specific mRNA codon recognition, and the 3' end, to which the tRNAs corresponding amino acid is attached (by aminoacyl-tRNA synthetases). tRNAs cope with the degeneracy of the genetic code in two manners: having more than one tRNA (with a specific anti-codon) for a particular amino acid; and 'wobble' base-pairing, i.e. permitting non-standard base-pairing at the 3rd anti-codon position. The record is from Rfam by way of RNAcentral. Lineage: Eukaryota; Ciliophora; Oligohymenophorea; Philasterida; Pseudocohnilembidae.
AGGGAUAUAGUACAGUUGGAAGUACUGAAGUCUGUCCUAUCUUCAAGCGAAAGUUCAAUUCUUUCUAUCCCUC